RNAcentral lists this ribosomal RNA (915 nucleotides) under uncultured marine archaeon. RNAcentral's name for it is "bacterial SSU rRNA". It matches the Rfam family "Archaeal small subunit ribosomal RNA", at positions 1 to 922 of the family's 1478-position model. The record is from RNAcentral.
UUCCGGUUGAUCCCGCCGGAGGCUACCGCUAUUGGAGUUCGAUUAAGCCAUGCGAGUCGCGAGUCUUAGGGACUCGGCGUACCGCUCAGUAACACGUGGGUAACCUGCCCUAUGCUGGGGGAUAACCUCGGGAAACUGAGAAUAAUACCCCAUAGCCCACCAUGCCUGGAACGGUUGGUGGAUCAAAGCUCCGGCGGCAUAGGAUGGGCCUGCGGCGUAUCAGGUUGUAGGGGGUGUAACGUACCCUCUAGCCAUCAACGCGUACGGGUGUUGGGAGACAUAGCCCGGAGAUGGAUUCUGAGACACGAAUCCAGACCCUACGGGGUGCAGCAGGCGCGAAAACUUGGCAAUGCGAGAAAUCGUGACCAGGGAACUCCAAGUGGCUGGGGUAAGACCCAGUCUUUUCUUGACUCUUCAAAGGUCUUGGAAUAAGAGGUGGGUAAGGACGGUGCCAGCCGCCGCGGUAAUACCGGCGCCUCAAGUGGUAGUCGAUUUUAUUGGGCCUAAAACGUCCGUAGCCUGUUUGGUACAUUCGUGGGUAAAUCAACCAGCUUAACUGAUUGAAUUCUGCGAGCACGGCCAGACUUGGGACCGGGAGAGGUGUGGGGUACGCUCAGGGUAGGGGUAAAAUCCUGUCAUCCUGAGCGGACCACCUGUUGCGAAGGCGCCACACUAGAACGGAUCCGACGGUCAGGGACGAAGCCUAGGGGCACGAACCGGAUUAGAUACCCGGGUAGUCCUAGGUGUAAACGCUGUGGACUUGGUGUUGGGGAUUCUCCGAGGAUUCUCAGUGCCGAAGCGAAGGUGAUAAGUCCACUGCCUGGGGAGUACGGUCGCAAGGCUGAAACUUAAAGGAAUUGGCGGGGGAGCACCGCAACCUGAGGAUUGUGCGGUUUAAUUGGAUUCAACGCCGGA